Molecule: ribosomal RNA, 372 nt
Filed under: uncultured bacterium
Lineage: Bacteria
Description: bacterial SSU rRNA
Rfam family: Bacterial small subunit ribosomal RNA
Source: RNAcentral
AGCGAACGCUGGCGGCAGGCUUAAUACAUGCAAGUCGAGCGCCUGUAGCAAUACAGGAGCGGCAGACGGGAGAGUAACACGUGGGAACGUGCCCUUUGGUUCGGAACAACACAGGGAAACUUGUGCUAAUACCGGAUAAGCCCUUACGGGGAAAGAUUUAUCGCCAAAGGAUCGGCCCGCGUCUGAUUAGCUAGUUGGUGGGGUAAUGGCCCACCAAGGCGACGAUCAGUAGCUGGUCUGAGAGGAUGAUCAGCCUCAUUGGGACUGAGACACGGCCCAAACUCCUACGGGAGGCAGCAGUGGGGAAUAUUGGACAAUGGGCGAAAGCCUGAUCCAGCCAUGCCGCGUGAGUGAUGAAGGCCUUAGGGUUGU